Molecule: ribosomal RNA, 447 nt
Filed under: Triticum aestivum (bread wheat)
Lineage: Eukaryota; Viridiplantae; Streptophyta; Magnoliopsida; Poales; Poaceae
Description: partial small subunit ribosomal RNA
Source: RNAcentral
AUGAAAGUGGACAAGAAGCUGACCUGGUUUGUAUCCAUGACGAAGGAUGGGAAGAGAGAGUGGUACCGAGUAAAAUAUGAAAAUUUACCGAUGUUCUGUGGAGUUUGUGGUCUACUAGGACACUGGUAUGAAGAAUGUGGCAAUGGAGAGCAUGAUGUGGACAAGAUGGAGUGGGGGAUUUCAUAUUGGCAGAUGGAGGCCGUGGCAGAGGAAGAGGAAGAUCAAGGGGACGGGGCUUUAGUGGCCAUUCGGGCUCAAGUGAAAACCCUCUGGAUAGGGGUGGACGUAGGGAUGAUGACAUUUUUGGACAAGGUAGGGGCAGAGGAGCUAACAUACCCACGGAAAGCUGGCGUUUUAAUGCUCGAUCCCAAGGCGUCCAGAAUAAGGAAUGUAACGACGGGGAUGCACCAACAGAGGCCCCUCCGAGCCAAGAUGUUCGGGCUGUAG